GCUCUCUUGUCUUUGUGGAUUGUAAGGAUGGAAUGGAAUUGAAUUCCCUUCUUCUAACUUUCUCAAGGAAAGAAAAAUCGAGAGAAAGUGAGAGAGGUAAAGACGAAAAUUUUUGAAGCGUACUGUGUGGAUUGUGGUUCGUGGAUUGUGCUUUGGAUGUCUUGGAAGGAAGGUAUUGUGUGGGUGAUGGGUUAAGGUAAUGCUGGGUUUGGUUUGCUGCGCUUUUCACUUGAUUUUUUGUUUUCUUUUGUGUUUUUUUUUUUAAUACUCCUCUUUUUUGAGAAUGAAUAAUU
Molecule: long non-coding RNA, 293 nt
Filed under: Populus tremula
Lineage: Eukaryota; Viridiplantae; Streptophyta; Magnoliopsida; Malpighiales; Salicaceae
Description: long non-coding RNA (PTRE_LNC001822)
Source: RNAcentral